UACAGAGGGUGCAAGCGUUGUUCGGAAUCACUGGGCGUAAAGCGCGUGUAGGCGGUUUUCUAAGUCAGGUGUGAAAUCCCCCGGCUUAACCGGGGAAGUGCGCCUGAAACUGGGAGGCUUGAGUAUCGGAGAGGAAAGGGGAAUUCCCGGUGUAGAGGUGAAAUUCGUAGAUAUCGGGAGGAACACCGGCGGCGAAGGCGCCUUUCUGGUCGAUCACUGACGCUGAGACGCGAAAGCGUGGGGAGCAAACAGG
Molecule: ribosomal RNA, 253 nt
Filed under: uncultured bacterium
Lineage: Bacteria
Description: partial 16S ribosomal RNA
Rfam family: Bacterial small subunit ribosomal RNA
Source: RNAcentral